AUUGAACGCUGGCGGCAGGCCUAACACAUGCAAGUCGAGCGGAUGACAGGAGCUUGCUCCUGAAUUCAGCGGCGGACGGGUGAGUAAUGCCUAGGAAUCUGCCUGGUAGUGGGGGACAACGUUUCGAAAGGAACGCUAAUACCGCAUACGUCCUACGGGAGAAAGCAGGGGACCUUCGGGCCUUGCGCUAUCAGAUGAGCCUAGGUCGGAUUAGCUAGUUGGUGAGGUAAAGGCUCACCAAGGCGACGAUCCGUAACUGGUCUGAGAGGAUGAUCAGUCACACUGGAACUGAGACACGGUCCAGACUCCUACGGGAGGCAGCAGUGGGGAAUAUUGGACAAUGGGCGAAAGCCUGAUCCAGCCAUGCCGCGUGUGUGAAGAAGGUACUUCGGAUUGUAAAGCAC
This 404-nucleotide ribosomal RNA is filed under the name uncultured bacterium. RNAcentral describes it as "bacterial SSU rRNA". It matches the Rfam family "Bacterial small subunit ribosomal RNA", at positions 30 to 433 of the family's 1533-position model. The record is from RNAcentral.